Molecule: long non-coding RNA, 1117 nt
Organism: Chrysemys picta bellii (western painted turtle)
Lineage: Eukaryota; Metazoa; Chordata; Testudines; Emydidae
Source: RefSeq, a predicted model, not a curated record
AGGUUGAUCAAAGGGAUGCCUCACCAUGCUGCUCUUUAGAGACCAGUCGUGAUUGCUGGAGAAAGUCCCGCUGAGAUGGUCAGUCAGCUGGUUUUGAGAGCCCGAGUGUCCAGUAUCUCUGGAGGCCCUCAGACAAGUCUUCCCUACGACAGGCAGCUCACGACAGACCAACUUCAACCAUGACUGAAGAGGAUGAAGACAACUUCACAUGUUGAACCACGUAACUAACUUCAGGCAUACACGGACCAUGGUCAGAUGAGACUGGAGAUCCAGACAACGAACUGAACUAUUUGCAAUCGCACAUGUGGGAGAAAAGCCCUCAAAUUCAUAGUGUAGUAGGCCCCACGGAACUCGAUUUCUGAGUUGGAGUCAAAGUCAACCCCAAUCAAUCAAAGAGGUCCAGUGUGAACUGAGGACUUGUUCCUCAGAAAAGCCUUUCACUAGCCAAUCGUCUAGGUACAGGAAGAUAUGAAUUCCCCUUCUUCUGAGAUAGGCUGCUGUUAACAGUCAUGCAUUUGGUAAAGAUGCACAAGGGUGACAAUGGGCCAAAGGUGAGAACUGUGUACUGAUAGAGUUGACUGGCGACAAAAAAGCUCAUACAUUUCCUGUGGUCUGGGAAAAUUGCUACAUGGAAAUAGGUGUCCUGAAGACCGAGAACAAACCCAUCAUUGUGAUUCAAUAUGGGGGGAAAAAGUAGCCAGGAUAACCACACAAUCUCAUAAACAUGAAUUGUUGAGAUCGCAGAGACUGAGGAUAGGUCUCACCCCUUCCUUGGACUUGGGGAUCAGGAAGUACUGAGAGUAGAAUCUCUUUUUCUGAUGAAAAGGAGGAACUUCCUCUAUAACUUCCAGAGCACACAGUCUGGACCUGCUGAAGAAGCAGUUAACACAUGAGAGGGGUCCCUCAAAAGGAACAGGGCAAAGGCCCGAUAUAUAGUAAAGCUGAAGACAUACCUCUCAACUUUCAAGCCUGUUAAUGUGUCACUAAAAUAUGUGACACUGACAAAAUCUGUGUUUCACAUUUCAGUUGCACAUCAUGCCAUAUUUUAAGUUUGAAACUUGUUUUUAAAAGAUGUUCCCCCACUGUAUGACUCAAAGCAUUUCUGAAACUGGAUAUG